RNAcentral lists this ribosomal RNA (465 nucleotides) under uncultured bacterium. Its description in RNAcentral is "partial 16S ribosomal RNA". It matches the Rfam family "Bacterial small subunit ribosomal RNA", at positions 28 to 507 of the family's 1533-position model. The record is from RNAcentral.
GACGAACGCUGGCGGCGUGCUUAACACGUGCAAGUCGUACGGUAAGGCCCUUUCGGGGGUACCCGCGUGGCGAACGGGUGGGUAACACGUGAGUAACCUGCCCACAACAUUGGGAUAACGCUAGGAAACUGGUGCUAAUACUGGAUAUGUACUCCUGCUGCAUGGUGGGGGUUGGAAAGCUCCGGCGGUUGUGGAUGGACUCGCGGCCUAUCAGCUUGUUGGUGGUGUAGUGGCCUACUAGGGCGGCGACGGGUAGCCGGCCGUAGAGGGGGACCGGCCACAAUGGGACUGAGAGACGGCGCAGACGCCUACGGGAGGCAGCAGUGGGGAAUAUUGCCCAAUGGGCGCAAGCCUGAUGCAGCAACGCCGCGUGCGUGAUGACGGCCUUCGGGUUGUAAACCGCUUUCAGCAGGGACGAAGCUUUUUGUGACGGUACCUGCAGAAGAAGCACCGGCUAACUACGUG